This 334-nucleotide ribosomal RNA is filed under the name uncultured bacterium. RNAcentral describes it as "bacterial SSU rRNA". It matches the Rfam family "Bacterial small subunit ribosomal RNA", at positions 1 to 334 of the family's 1533-position model. The record is from RNAcentral.
ACAGAUCGUUCAGAGUUUGAUCCUGGCUCAGGAUGAACGCUAGCGGCAGGCUUAACACAUGCAAGUCGAGGGGUAGAUAUCUUCGGAUAUUGAGACCGGCGCACGGGUGCGUAACGCGUAUGCAAUCUACCUUGUACAGGGGGAUAGCCCAGAGAAAUUUGGAUUAAUACCCCAUAGUGUAAUGAAUAGGCAUCUAUUUAUUACUAAAGUUCCAACGGUACAAGAUGAGCAUGCGUCCCAUUAGCUAGUUGGUGUGGUAACGGCACACCAAGGCAACGAUGGGUAGGGGUCCUGAGAGGGAGAUCCCCCACACUGGUACUGAGACACGGACCAG